UAAACGACUCUCGGCAACGGAUAUCUUGGCUCUCGCAUCGAUGAAGAACGUAGCGAAAUGCGAUACUUGGUGUGAAUUGCAGAAUCCCGUGAACCAUCGAGUCUUUGAACACAAGUUGCGCCCGAAGCCGUCAGGCCGAGGGCACGUCUGCCUGGGCGUCACAC
Molecule: ribosomal RNA, 164 nt
Filed under: Polylepis quadrijuga
Lineage: Eukaryota; Viridiplantae; Streptophyta; Magnoliopsida; Rosales; Rosaceae
Description: 5.8S ribosomal RNA
Rfam family: 5.8S ribosomal RNA
About the family: 5.8S ribosomal RNA (5.8S rRNA) is a component of the large subunit of the eukaryotic ribosome. It is transcribed by RNA polymerase I as part of the 45S precursor that also contains 18S and 28S rRNA.
Source: RNAcentral